GAUGAACGCUGGCGGCGUGCCUAAUACAUGCAAGUCGAGCGAACGGACGAGAAGCUUGCUUCUCUGAUGUUAGCGGCGGACGGGUGAGUAACACGUGGAUAACCUACCUAUAAGACUGGGAUAACUUCGGGAAACCGGAGCUAAUACCGGAUGAUAUUUUGAACCGCAUGGUUCAAAAGUGAAAGACGGUCUUGCUGUCACUUAUAGAUGGAUCCGCGCUGCAUUAGCUAGUUGGUAAGGUAACGGCUUUCCAAGGCAACGAUGCAUAGCUGACCUGAGAGGGUGAUCGGCCACACUGGAACUGAGACACGGUCCAGACUCCUACGGGAGGCAGCAGUAGGGAAUCUUCCGCAAUGGGCGAAAGCCUGACGGAGCAACGCCGCGUGAGUGAUGAAGGUCUUCGGAUCGUAAAACUCUGUUAUUAGGGAAGAACAUAUGUGUAAGUAACUGUGCACAUCUUGACGGUACCUAAUCAGAAAGCCACGGCUAACUACGUG
RNAcentral lists this ribosomal RNA (497 nucleotides) under uncultured bacterium. RNAcentral describes it as "partial 16S ribosomal RNA". It matches the Rfam family "Bacterial small subunit ribosomal RNA", at positions 28 to 507 of the family's 1533-position model. The record is from RNAcentral.